This 483-nucleotide ribosomal RNA is filed under the name Clostridiales bacterium canine oral taxon 141. RNAcentral describes it as "bacterial SSU rRNA". It matches the Rfam family "Bacterial small subunit ribosomal RNA", at positions 9 to 494 of the family's 1533-position model. Lineage: Bacteria; Bacillati; Bacillota; Clostridia; Eubacteriales. The record is from RNAcentral.
GAGUUUGAUUCUGGCUCAGGACGAACGCUGGCGGCGUGCCUAACACAUGCAAGUCGAGCGGAGACAUAAGCGGAAGUUUUCGGAUGGAAGGUUAUGUUUUAGCGGCGGACGGGUGAGUAACGCGUGAGGAACCUGUCCUUCACAGCGGGAUAAGACGGCGAAAGCUGUUCUAAUACCGCAUGAGACCACGGUACCGCAUGGUACAGGGGUUAAAGGAGCAAUCCGGUGAAGGGUGGUCUCGCGUCCGAUUAGAUAGUUGGCGGGGUAACGGCCCACCAAGUCGACGAUCGGUAGCCGACCUGAGAGGGUGAUCGGCCACAUUGGGACUGAGACACGGCCCAGACUCCUACGGGAGGCAGCAGUGGGGAAUAUUGGGCAAUGGGGGGAACCCUGACCCAGCAACGCCGCGUGGAGGAAGAAGGUUUUCGGAUUGUAAACUCCUGUCCUUGGUGAAGAGGAAGAGACGUAGCCAAGAGGAGCCCC